This 120-nucleotide ribosomal RNA is filed under the name Triticum aestivum (bread wheat). RNAcentral's name for it is "partial small subunit ribosomal RNA". The record is from RNAcentral. Lineage: Eukaryota; Viridiplantae; Streptophyta; Magnoliopsida; Poales; Poaceae.
AGUAUUCGACACUGGGUUAUUCAUAGCAUUACUAUACCUUAGCUAUUCAUAGCAGGUCGGUUAUUUGUCAAUACGAGUUUAGCUUAUGACGUGUUCGGAAGUCCUACAAAUUCAUUAUAA